RNAcentral lists this ribosomal RNA (492 nucleotides) under uncultured bacterium. RNAcentral describes it as "partial 16S ribosomal RNA". It matches the Rfam family "Bacterial small subunit ribosomal RNA", at positions 29 to 507 of the family's 1533-position model. The record is from RNAcentral.
AGUGAACGCUGGCGGUAGGCCUAACACAUGCAAGUCGAACGGCAGCACCGUAAGAGCUUGCUCUUACGGGUAGCGAGUGGCGGACGGGUGAGGAAUACAUCGGAAUCUACUUUUUCGUGGGGGAUAACGUAGGGAAACUUACGCUAAUACCGCAUACGACCUACGGGUGAAAGCAGGGGAUCUUCGGACCUUGCGCGAUUGAAUGAGCCGAUGUCGGAUUAGCUAGUUGGCGGGGUAAAGGCCCACCAAGGCGACGAUCCGUAGCUGGUCUGAGAGGAGGAAGAGCCACACUGGAACUGAGACACGGUCCAGACGCCGACGGGAGGCAGCGGUGGGGAAGAUUGGACAAUGGGCGCAAGCCUGAUCCAGCCAUACCGCGUGGGUGAAGAAGGCCUUCGGGUGGUAAAGCCCUUUUGUUGGGAAAGAAAAGCAGCAGGUUAAUACCCCGCUGUUCUGACGGUACCCAAAGAAUAAGCACCGGCUAACUUCGUG